UGGGGAAUAUUGCACAAUGGGGGAAACCCUGAUGCAGCGACGCCGCGUGAGCGAUGAAGGCUUUCGAGUCGUAAGCUCUGUCCUAUGGGAAGAUAAUGACGGUACCAUAGAAGAAAGCCCCGGCUAAUUACGUGCCAGCAGCCGCGGUAAUACGUAAGGGGCGAGCGUUGUCCGGAAUUAUUGGGCGUAAAGAGUGCGUAGGCGGCAAAUUAAGUCAGAUGUGAAAACUAAGGGCUCAACCCAUAGAUUGCAUCUGAAACUGAUAUGCUUGAGUCAAGGAGAGGAAAGUGGAAUUCCUAGUGUAGCGGUGGAAUGCGUAGAUAUUAGGAGGAAUACCGGUGGCGAAGGCGACUUUCUGGACUUGAACUGACGCUGAGGCACGAAAGCGUGGGGAGCAAACAGG
Molecule: ribosomal RNA, 403 nt
Filed under: Verrucomicrobiota bacterium
Lineage: Bacteria; Pseudomonadati; Verrucomicrobiota
Description: Verrucomicrobia bacterium partial 16S ribosomal RNA
Rfam family: Bacterial small subunit ribosomal RNA
Source: RNAcentral